UUGUCUUGCAUCAUUCAAUAUGUUAUCGUAUAAGGUAUUUGUUCGACAAUCAGCAGAUAAUCCAGAGUCUGCUAUAAAUAAAUAUAAAGGAGAAUUAAAUUUCUGUGGAGAUGAGGCAAGAAAAGCCUACAAUGAUAUAAUAGCCGAUCCUUGUUCAAGAAAACCGAAGAAUUUUCCCUCUCGUGCUGGUAAAUCUUCCAGUUUUGUAAAAAUAAAAACUAAAAAAUGUACUGAACUGCAACAAGUGAAUAUCACAGCGAAUGCUAUUUUGAAAUCAAUCGACCAAAUUGAUUGGAAUUUUAUAAAGCAAAAUGUAACGAAAGAAAACGUCAAUAUUACUGACAACUAUGGAUGGACACCAUUGAUGUUGGCAGCUUACAAUGGAAACUCGGAUAUUGUUAAAUAUUUAUUGACACUUGGAGCAGAUAAAAGUUUCAAAGAAAAAUCUGGCUACGAUGCACUACAAUUGGCUGGUAAAAAGCAUCAUGAUAACAUAAUUUCUUUAUUGGAGGGUGAAGAUCCCAAGGCUAUUGUUGAUAAUUAUGAAAAAAGUGACCAGAAUCAUGUGAAAUCGUCCGCAUUCUACUGUUCGGUCUGCAAAAUUAAUUUUCAAGAAACAACUGUGAAGAAACACGAGUCCUCGUUACUUCAUAUUUUUAACACAAAUCCAAAAUUACCGGAUCCUAUUUAUGGUAUACCAAAAGGGAAUAAAGGGUAUCAGAUAAUGUUGAAUACUGGGUGGGAAGAGUCAAAGGGUCUGGGACCCUCCGGUAGUGGGUUGAAAUAUCCUGUCAAGACCGUUCUAAAACGAGAUCGAAAGGGAUUUGGGGGAAACAGUGAAGCUCGACCUAGGAUUACCCACUUCGAAAGUAAUGCUGUGGCUGCAAUAAAAGAUGUUCGGCAAGAGCGAGUAAUGAGGGAAAAGGGUUAUAGAAAAAAAGAUAGAGAGAAGUUUCUUAGCAGAGAAGCUAGGAAAGAACGAGCUAUUAGACAAGCACUUUCUUGACUUUAUUGUUCGGUGAUGAAAAUACGAAAUGGAAGAAAUAGGGCACGGAUGGGGCACAAUAAUCAUGAAGGAACAGAGGGAGAUGCUGCAGUAUUUGCAGAAACUUGAGGAAAAAGGUGGAGAGAUUUUAACUGAUAGGCAGGAAAUUGUAGCGCUAGAUAAAAGGAGAAAUGAUGAUCGUGUUGGAAUGCGUGCACUUCA
Diachasmimorpha longicaudata is the source of this 1207-nucleotide RNA transcript. It is a transcript of the gene named p53 and DNA damage-regulated protein 1, with no coding region annotated. NCBI's taxonomy places the organism in Eukaryota, Metazoa, Arthropoda, Insecta, Hymenoptera, Braconidae. The transcript is spliced from 2 exons. The record is from RefSeq and is a predicted model, not a curated record.